CCUACGGGAGGCAGCAGUAGGGAAUAUUCCACAAUGGGCGAAAGCCUGAUGGAGCAACGCCGCGUGCAGGAUUAAGGCCUUCGGGUUGUAAACUGCUUUUAUAUGUGAAGAAUAUGACGGUAGCAUAUGAAUAAGCCUCGGCUAACUCCGUGCCAGCAGCCGCGGUCAUACGGAGGAGGCAAGCGUUAUCCGGAUUUACUGGGCGUAAAGAGUUGCGUAGGCGGUUUUGUAAGCAAAUAGUGAAAUCAUGUGGCUCAACCAUACUGACUAUUAUUUGAACUGCAGAACUUGAGAGCGAGAGGGGUGAUUGGAAUUCCCGGUGUAGGAGUGAAAUCCGUAGAUAUCGGGAGGAACACCAAUGGCGUAGGCAGAUCACUGGCUCGUUUCUGACGCUAAGGCACGAAAGCGUGGGUAGCAAACGGGAUUAGAUACCCCGGUAGUCCACGCCGUAAACUAUGGAUGCUAGCUGUUUGGAGUAUCGACCCUCUGAGUAGCGAAGCUAACGCGUUAAGCAUCCCGCCUGGGGAGUACGAUCGCAAGAUUAAAACUCAAAGGAAUUGACGG
RNAcentral lists this ribosomal RNA (564 nucleotides) under uncultured bacterium. Its description in RNAcentral is "bacterial SSU rRNA". It matches the Rfam family "Bacterial small subunit ribosomal RNA", at positions 338 to 916 of the family's 1533-position model. The record is from RNAcentral.